Long non-coding RNA from Passer domesticus (house sparrow), 218 nucleotides. RefSeq lists it as uncharacterized. The record is from RefSeq and is a predicted model, not a curated record. The transcript is spliced from 3 exons. Lineage: Eukaryota; Metazoa; Chordata; Aves; Passeriformes; Passeridae.
AGUGGUGGUUAUGGAGCGCUUGUCCUCUGGGAAUUCAGUGGCUAAGGCUGCUUGUGAUGUUCCAAAUCUCAGAUUAUAUCCAGCCUUUGAGCCCAGUGUGUUGAGACUGUCUUGGCAGAGAGGACCAACUGUAGGAUGGGAAAAUUUAUCUGGAAGAAAAUGCAGGUCUGAUUUGGUGGAACUGUGGAAAAUGUCUUGCCAAACUGUAUUACAUGGGU